ACGGAGACAUGGCAUGAAGCGAGAGAGUGAGAGACAUUAACUCAUUAGACUGGAACUUGAACUGAUUCACAUCUCAUUUU
Gorilla gorilla gorilla (western lowland gorilla) is the source of this 80-nucleotide regulatory RNA element. It matches the Rfam family "ctgf/hcs24 CAESAR". Rfam says of the family: The 3' UTR of human connective tissue growth factor/hypertrophic chondrocyte specific 24 (ctgf/hcs24) mRNA has been shown to repress ctgf gene expression. Reference identified a minimal RNA element, predicted to form a stable secondary structure, which acts as a post-transcriptional cis-acting element of structure-anchored repression (CAESAR), probably through direct interactions with as yet unknown nuclear factors. Lineage: Eukaryota; Metazoa; Chordata; Mammalia; Primates; Hominidae. The record is from Rfam.